AAUAGAUACCCUGGUAGUCCACGCCGUAAACGAUGAGUGCUAAGUGUUAGAGGGUUUCCGCCCUUUAGUGCUGCAGCUAACGCAUUAAGCACUCCGCCUGGGGAGUACGGUCGCAAGACUGAAACUCGAAGGAAUUGACGGGGGCCCGCACAAGCGGUGGAGCAUGUGGUUUAAUUCGAAGCAACGCGAAGAACCUUACCAGGUCUUGACAUCCUCUGACAACUCUAGAGAUAGAGCGUUCCCCUUCGGGGGACAGAGUGACGGGUGGUGCAUGGUUGUCGUCAGCUCGUGUCGUGAGAUGUUGGGUUAAGUCCCGCAACGAGCGCAACCCUUGAUCUUAGUUGCCAGCAUUUAGUUGGGCACUCUAAGGUGACUGCCGGUGACAAACCGGAGGAAGGUGGGGAUGACGUCAAAUCAUCAUGCCCCUUAUGACCUGGGCUACACACGUGCUACAAUGGAUGGUACAAAGGGCUGCAAGACCGCGAGGUCAAGCCAAUCCCAUAAAACCAUUCUCAGUUCGGAUUGUAGG
This 529-nucleotide ribosomal RNA is filed under the name uncultured bacterium. RNAcentral's name for it is "bacterial SSU rRNA". It matches the Rfam family "Bacterial small subunit ribosomal RNA", at positions 777 to 1304 of the family's 1533-position model. The record is from RNAcentral.